AGAAGAGAUUAAUAUUGGUUGUUUUUUGUUAUAUUUCUUGUUUUAAUGAAAUGGAAAUUAGGAGUAAACACGGGACAGAGAGGCAUGAAGACACAAAGCAGUGAAAACAUGAAGCUUGUGAGGAUUGUCAGAUGGAGAAGCUUUUUUGAUUUAAGACCGAACUUCUCUGUUGAUCCACACAGACCUGAAGAGUGUCGAUCUGAAGCAUCAGAGAUGAUCAAACAUGAGCUGAGAUCAUGAACAUGAAGAAAUGAUGUGUGGAUGUCUGAAACUACAUUCAUGAAUCACGUGUGUGUCUUCUGGACUCUGAAGAUCCUGACAGCAGCUUUAUUCAGGACGGAUCAUCAUGAAAUAAGAUGACCUUAAAUCUUCCCUGGAGAACAAACCAGCAGGAGAAAUGAAUGUUGGAUAAUCUGUGUCAGUAUCUAUAUUAGGCUUUGUGGGGAAAACAGGAAUGAGUGUAAAUCAAAUACAUAAAUGCUAUCAUUUUUCAUAUAGUUGUAUAGUUUUUGUUCUGAACAUAUUUCAUCCAGUCAUAACUGUUACAGUAUUGUGUCUUUUCCAUGUUAAAUAUGACACCUGAACCUGCUGUUUCCUGUAAAUAUUUGAAUAAUUUGUCAUUUAGUUUUCUCCAUUUAAGGUUCUCAACUUUUUCAUUUCUGUGAAACAUUUACUGUAACAGCACUGCAGUAGAAACUGAAUUAAACAAUAAAGUCCGUCCUGGAGAUACAGACACACUAUUUUAAAUAAAAUAGAUAAAUGAUCACAUGUUUGAGCAUUAACUCUUUCUGAACUCAUUUUCUCCACGGCUCAUUCAGUGGUCUGUUACACUCAUCAUGACCUUUAGUUUGAACACAGAUGCAAACACUGUCUUUCUUUAUUGUGUCCAAUUAAUAAACAUUGCUUCAGUUAA
Long non-coding RNA from Megalobrama amblycephala (Wuchang bream), 913 nucleotides. RefSeq lists it as uncharacterized. NCBI's taxonomy places the organism in Eukaryota, Metazoa, Chordata, Actinopteri, Cypriniformes, Xenocyprididae. The transcript has 3 exons. The record is from RefSeq and is a predicted model, not a curated record.